Knoellia aerolata DSM 18566 is the source of this 129-nucleotide regulatory RNA element. It matches the Rfam family "ALIL pseudoknot". NCBI's taxonomy places the organism in Bacteria, Bacillati, Actinomycetota, Actinomycetes, Micrococcales, Intrasporangiaceae. The record is from Rfam.
CUCGUUCUUCGCGCGGGAGCUCGACCCGCGACUGCCGUGGUGAUCGCGUUCAUCACCGAUCACCGGGACCGGUUCGGGGUCGAGCCGAUCUGCUCCGUGCUCACCGAGCACGGCGUGAAGAUCGCCCCG